This 4306-nucleotide unclassified non-coding RNA is filed under the name Leishmania donovani. Its description in RNAcentral is "gene:LdHU3.05.0090(CDS-product:major_vault_protei n_putative)". The record is from RNAcentral. Lineage: Eukaryota; Euglenozoa; Kinetoplastea; Trypanosomatida; Trypanosomatidae.
CGGCUUUCCCAUUUGUCGACCGGGAGCCAUGACUGAUUCUGUCAUCCGCAUUAAGCGGUACCACUACAUCCACAUCUUGGACAACAACACCAACGUCACUCGCACCAUCUCCGGGCCCGUCGUCUACACGCGGAAGGAGCACGAGACAUGCCUGUUUGACCCGUGCCCGUGCGUGUCGGUGCCGCCGCGUCACUACUGUGUUGUCAAGAAUCCAUGUGUGCGAGAUGAGGCGGGGGAGGUGGUGUUGGAGUCGUCGGGGCAGGUGAAGCUCCGUCUCGGCGACUCUGAGAUCCGCUUUGAAUGCGAGCCUUUUCCCUUGUACCCCGGCGAAGAGUUGGACUGCAGGGACGGUAAAGGCGUGCAAAAGCUGCAGCUGAUCCCGCCCAACACUGGCCUCCACGUGCGGUGCGUUCGCGACUUCAAAGAUGCGGACAGGCGUGUCGGUGCGGGUACGGAGUGGAUGGUGGCUGGGCCGCAAACGUACAUCCCGCGCGUUGAGGUGGUGGUGGUGGAGGAGGUGAAGGCAACGGUCAUUUAUCCAAACACUGCCUUGCUGGUGCAGGCGAACGUCAACUUCACCGAUCGAUGCGGGGUGCCUCGGGUGGCGGGGGAAAAGUGGCUGGUGCGGGCAUUGGGAGCGUAUCUCAAAUCUGUUGAGGAGACGGUCCUGGGCUUGAUACAGGGUACCAUGCUCAGCGACCUCAAGGCGCUGCGCCUGAGCGCCGUGCGCAGCUUCACCGAUGUGUAUGGGAAGGCGCGGCGGGCUGGGGAGCAGUGGCAGGUGACAUUGAAGGACGCACCAGUGCACAUCGUUGAUGCCUACGAAACUAAGGUGGCCGAUGUCGCCGCUGUCUCACUCAGCGCGAAGGAGUAUGUGAUCAUUCACCACCCCGUCGACGACACCGGCCAUAACCGCUUCGGUGAGACGCUUGUGCGCCGUGGCGAGUGCACCUUUUUCCUGCAGCCAGGGGAGACAAUGCCGCGCGGUGUCGAGCAGGUGCUCGUGGUCGGAAAGGAAGAGGCGCUGCUGCUGGAGGCGGUGUGUGAGUACCGUGACGGAGGUGAGAAGCGGCAGCCGGGCAGCCGAUGGAUGGUGCACGGCCCUCUCGAGUACAUCCCCGCCAACGAAGUGAAGCUGCUGGAGCACCGCCGUAUGAUGGCGCUGGACAAGAACGAGGGCAUUUACAUAAUGAACACGACAACGGGCGAGGUGCGUGCAGUCAUUGGCAAGCCUUACAUGCUGGAUGUUAACGAGGUGCUGUGGGAGAAGCACCUGCCGCUCGCCGUCGAGGAGCUCCUCGAGUCUCCGAACGGCAGCAUUCAAACGAGUGAGCGCAACCCUGGCUUUGUCAGCCACCGCGAAAAGUACCGUAUUGUCCGAUUCAACGUGCAGCACAACGCUGCAGUGCAGAUUUACGACUACCGCAAGAAGCAGCCGCGCAUUGUGCUGGGCCCAAACCUUGUCAUGCUGGCCCCGCAUGAAGAGUUCACCGUGCUCUCGCUUAGCGGCGGCACUCCGAAGGUGCCGAACUCGUUGCAAUCACUCCAGCUCUUUCUCGGGCCGCGCUUCUCGAGUGACACCAUUGUCGUGGAGACGUCGGAUCACGCUCGCCUACGCUUGCGGCUGUCGUACAACUGGUACUUUGACAUCGACCGCGCCAACCCUAGUCGGAGGACUUUCUCGGUGCCGGACUUCAUCGGCGACUGCUGCAAGACCAUCGCCAGCCGCGUGCGCGGCGCCGUCGCAGCCGAGGACUUCGACUCCUUUCACCGCAACUCUGCCAAAAUCAUCCGCACUGCUGUCUUUGGCGUCGACGAGGCUGGCGAGACGAAGAAGAAUCUGCGCUUCACCGCAAACGACUUUGUUGUGACGAACAUCGAUGUUCAGUCGUCGGAGCCGACGGACGAGAAGACGCGCGACAGCUUGCAGAAGUCCGUGCAGCUCGCGAUUGAAAUUACGACCAAGUCGCAAGAGGCGGCUGCACGUCAUGGCAACGAGCUGAAGGACCAGGAGGCCAAAGGGCAGCUGGAGCGGCAGAAACUGCUUGACAAGAUCGAAGUGGAGAAUGCAAGGACAAAGUGGCUGGAGCUGCAGGCGAAGAGCGAGGCAGUGCAGGCGAGUGGGCAGUCCGUCGCGGAGGCAAAGGCGCGCGCAGAAGCGCUGCUCAUCGAAGUGCGCUCUGAGAUGCAGCAGGCGGAGAUGCGGGCGAAAGCGUACCGUAUCUCAGCGGAGGCAGAGCUGCAGAAGCUGCAGCAGCGACAAGCUCUGGAGCUCGAGUACACCCAGCGGCAGAAUGAGAUAGACGUUUCCAAGGCACGAGCGGCGGCUGAGGCAGAGGCGGAGAAGGUGAAGCGGAUGGUUGACUGCAUUGGCCGUGACACCUUGGUCGCCAUCGCCCGCGCAGGUCCCGAGACACAGGUGAAGUUGCUGAGCAGCCUCGGCCUAAAGGGCUACCUCAUCACCGACGGAAACAGUCCAGUCAAUUUGUUUGGCACAGCGCAAGGAAUGAUUGGGGAGCCGAAGAAGUGAUUCAGCGGGCACUGCACCGCGCAUCAGUACGCUGGCCUAUCCUUGUCUGACCGCGCGCUUAUGUGCGCCUCAUUCCUACCUGCCCUCAUUGUUAGAAUGGUUGGGCGGGGCUUGCUCAUGCGCAUCCGUAUUUCUCUUUACUGCUGGUUUCCAGCAGGUCCCUUCCUUUUCUUACGUGACCACCACUUCCGCGGGCUUCCCGUUCGCCUCUUUCUUUACUCAGCACUGUUUUGAACGUUUACCACAACAGAGAAGGGGGAUGUACGCGCGCACCACCGGAAAACCGUGUCAGGGUGUACCACGGCUACUUGUAUGUGAGCGCCCUUCUUUUUAUUUCGCCGUUGCUUGUCGACUCGGUGGGUGGAGUGUCCCGGCCCGUUUCACUGUUUCCCCUCAGCGCUGCUCAUUUUUCGACAUCUUGAUUGGCUCUCGUGUUUGCGUGUGCUGCGUGGAGGGAGGGGGCGCCUUGCCCGCCUCCCCCCGCUCUCUCGAUUCCUUUUCCCUCUUGGCACACACUGGCCGUCUAUGCCCUCCUCGCCAGCUUCCUCCUCUUCCGCUGCUUGACGCGUGCCAGAUGCAGCGGUAGCGGCAUUGAGGGAAGCAGGCGCAGCUUUCUUUUCCAUAACACUCGUGCGCUCAUGAAUCCUCUGCGAGCGUGCCGCUGUGUUUUUCUCUCUACACUGCAGCACGCCUCAUACCGAUGGCAUCAGUAGCCGUGGAAGAGAAGCGGAGUCCGACAGAUGAGCGUAGCCGCGCAGCUCCUGCGGCUACCGCACCUGACGAGAAAGUUGCUGCGUGCGCAGAUUCCAAUGUGCCCUUGCACGGAAGAUCACUUUUGGGUACCCUUAUUGCUCUCCUACGUGGUGGAGUGCCCCUGGUGACGGGGGACGCCUCAGUGCGCCGUAUCUCAGAGUCCAGCACCCCCCCUCCACAGUCGCUGCGUUGGAAAGCCGGGCAGCCCUCCUAUGUCCCUGCCACGUGCCGAGCCGCUUCUGGUGGUGACGGGGCCAGGCGCCAACACUGCUGAAAACGACUGAGCGAUGUGCCGCUGGUGGUGUCGGCGGUCAGGUCCUGGACGGCGCUGCGUCGGAGCGACCUGCGACCGUGUGAGCGCGCUUGUGCCAUCCAUGCGAUCAGGCCGAGCGCCAGCGUGUCUUGUCCGGCCCCGACACUGCCUGCUGGUGUGGGGAACGCGAACCCCCCCCCGACAGCAGCACCAGGUGCUGACCAGCGUGAUGGGAGCGGCUGCGAGGCGACCUGCGAGACGGUGGCGGGCGGAGAGGUUGAGGCAGGGGCCGCUCACAGAUGGCCGCGUCAGCGCAUGUGGUGCAACGCUUGUGUGCCGCUGCGUGGCACCUCGCGGACGGGGCCUUGUGACAGGGGGCCGGCCGGACUGGCUUUGGAAGCACGUUGCACGGCCGAAUGGACACGCUGAGAUAAAAGAUCAGUGGUGUGAAGCAUCCUCUGCCGAGCUGUCAUCUGGCUGAUGGCGCUGAUAUGUAACGGUGAGGCGGUGAUAGCACAGAGCGAGCAUGCGCGCAAGGACAGCCACAUCCGUAGAUGUAUGCAUGCAUGUGUUCUACCGAGAUGGCCCGCGACUGGUGAGUCCUUCGACGAGGUGAGUGGCCAUCUUGAUGCGAGGCAUUUUUGCUCGUGCCUCUGGCUUGAUGGCUGUGCUGCCUUCGCACUGCCUUGCCUGUUCGCUCUUCUCACUCAGGUCUGCUCUCUGCUUGUCUGCCUCUGGAUACGUCUCUGAGUCCUAGAGCACCGUCACAC